RNAcentral lists this ribosomal RNA (465 nucleotides) under uncultured bacterium. RNAcentral describes it as "bacterial SSU rRNA". It matches the Rfam family "Bacterial small subunit ribosomal RNA", at positions 338 to 795 of the family's 1533-position model. The record is from RNAcentral.
CCUANGGGGGGCAGCAGUCGAGAGGCUUCGGCAAUGGGGGAAACCCUGACCGAGCGACGCCGCGUGGGCGAUGAAGGCCGUUAGGUUGUAAAGCCCUGUCGAGCGGAAAAAACGUAGAUGGGUGAACAAUUCAUCUACUUGAUGGUACCGUUAAAGGAAGCUCCGGCCAACUCCGUGCCAGCAGCCGCGGUAAUACGGGGGGAGCGAACGUUGUUCGGAAUUACUGGGCGUAAAGGGCGUGCAGGCGGUCCGGUAAGAGAGUUGUGAAAUGCCCUGGCUCAACCAGGGAAAUGCACCUCUGACUGCCGGACUUGAGUAUGGGAGAGGAUGGGGGAAUUCCCGGUGUAGCGGUGAAAUGCAUUGAUAUCGGGAGGAACACCAGUGGCGAAGGCGCCCAUCUGGCCUAAUACUGACGCUCAGGCGCGAAAGCUAGGGGAGCAAACAGGAUUAGAUACCCCANUANUC